Oreochromis niloticus (Nile tilapia) is the source of this 2188-nucleotide long non-coding RNA. The record is from Ensembl. Lineage: Eukaryota; Metazoa; Chordata; Actinopteri; Cichliformes; Cichlidae.
UUUUUUUGACAAGUUGUCUGUAUUCUUAAAUACUUAAAAAAUUAUCUUUUUCUAAACAGCCCUCAUCACUCCAGUCUGCCCCCCAGCCCACUGAUAGCAACCAUCAUAAUGCCACACCCAGCUUCCGGCACCUUUCGCCACUCCGGCACAAACCGACACAGCUUUGCGAUCUCGCCAGCAUGCAGAGUCUGAUGUCUUCCCUAUAGAUGGUAUGCUUUUAAAAAAGCUUUAAAGCUGCAUCACAAUGUCAUUGUACUCUUAUCUAAAAAAAAACAAUUUAUACUCCUGAAUGUCAUCUUGUUGUGAUUUUUUUUUUUUUUUUUUUUUUUUUUUUUUUCCUGCAGAUUCCAGAGACUCUGUGAGGCCACUAUUACAAGGCAAGUUUGAAAAUCUUGGAAUUUCACAGUUUACAUGGUAUAACAAAUAUAUGUGACAGGCAAAAACUAGUAAACACUUUUAGCAGUUACAAGAACUAACAAAUGAAUAUCCAACAAAAGGGAAUAGAAAUACAUUGUACUGCCAAUACUUUGGUUUAUUCUUUGUAUGACUUGAAAAUCAGGCUUUAGGGAAAACUAAAUGACAUGUUUCUAUCAUCAGUUACAUGAAGUAAACACACAAGCACUUGCAUACACAUUUAAGACAUGAGACACGCUAAUUCCAUCUCUUAAAAUGUGUCUAUAGGUGAGACGCUUUGCGUUGAUUGGUGCUGCUGGACCACACUGGAGGUGCGAGUCCGCCGUGUAAUGGUUUAUGCCAUUACAAAGGAGCUGGCCUCUGUACUCAACUGGGCAGGGAAAAAAAACCAAGGACCAGACGAAGCAAAAAAGGGCAUUUAAAGAGACAGCGCUGUGCAGAUGCAUAUUUGAUGGCCUGGCGCAGCAGGUAGGGGCGAACUCUAUGUCUGAGUUGGUCUUUGCUUAAGCAGUCCAGAAAUGGCUCAGAUAUGCUCCAGAUCGUACGGGUGGCGCGCAGGACGCACAUCAUCCAUCCCCAUCCCGGAGUAAAUAAUAAAAAGUGACGUGAAACAUAGAAAUGUAAAUAGGAAACUUUGUCUUUUAAUAAAGUAUUUUGCAAAUGAUACAUGUCUAUUGACCUUUUUUGUUUUUUUGUUUUUUUUCAAUAAAAAGCAACUGUACGAAAGAGGUGGAAAAUCAAUACCAUAGCUCAACAGUGUUUCAAUAUCAGAAUCUGACAUUGUUUCAAUGUCAACAGUAUUCGAAAAUAUAACGUCGAAUCAAUGUCAGGUUUCAACAUUGAUUCAACAUCAAAACCUGACGUUGUUUCAACGUUAAAAAUGGGUGCAAGAGUGAUGUUGGGUCAACGUCACACUUCAACGUUGCUUCAAUGACGUCGCCUGAUAUUGACUCAACAUUGUUUCAAUGUUUCCUUGCUAUCUGGGUAGUGAGAUGAAGUGAAGAAGACGGGACUUCAAGGGUAAAGCUGCUGGGCUGAGGUGGAGGGGGAAAUGUCAUUAACAAUGACCAGUGAUGAGCCAAAGAGAGAAAACACUCCCUCUCCUUCUGAUUGAAUUGUUCACAGCGCCAUGUCUCCAUAAACCUGACCCUAACUGGGGUUAGGUGGGCCCUAACUUCUGGCUGAGGACAAGGAACAUUAAAUCUUACAAUACACAUUAAAUCUAGUAGCAGGCCUGAGCGAAGGCCCAAGUGUCUUCUGCUUUUCUUUGAGACCUGCUGCAAUUCUGUCUACUUAAUGAUUGGUGACGAGGGUCAAUUAUUAGCCCUUAGAGACCCUGAAGCUUGAAGUUUAUUACCUUAAAAGGUAGAGGUGGGAAUCACCAUACAUCCCACGAUACGAUAUUAUCACAAUACUUAACGCACGAUACGACAUUAUUGCAAUUUUUUUUUUAAUAUUUUGCGAUAUUCAGAUUCUGUACAUCAAGGUAAACUUUAUCAAUAUUCAUUUUAUCUAAUAACAAAGUCUCACACUCAGUCUUUCUCUCAUUUCAGUCAGUUUUAUUGUUGACAAACUGAACAGUUUGUAUUACAGUCUAGUCCAACUUAGCUGAAUGCAACCAUCUGGUACAAUUAUAGCUAUUCUGAACUAUGCAAUUUGUGAAAACUAUGCAGCCCCUUCAGCAACUGAAGAAUUUGAAAGUAAAUUAAAACAAAAUAUAAUUUUACAUUAAAUGAAAAAGUUUUAAACUUAAUUAAAAUAAAACAUGUCUUAA